This is a long non-coding RNA of Phyllostomus hastatus (greater spear-nosed bat), 714 nucleotides long. RefSeq lists it as uncharacterized. The transcript is spliced from 3 exons. The record is from RefSeq and is a predicted model, not a curated record. Lineage: Eukaryota; Metazoa; Chordata; Mammalia; Chiroptera; Phyllostomidae.
GAUGCACAGGCAGAGUGAACUCUAGGAUUCAACUGAGCAUGUGUGACCCAUUGAGUAAUCUCAUUGAGACUGUCCUGCCUUUGGGAGUUCUUCUGUGUGUUCUUUGCAACAGGGGAAAUAAUCACCGAUCUGGGUUGACAGGAACAAGACAGUGGCAUAGGAGGUGCCAGCCCUCAUGUCUACAUGGAAACACCUAUUUUAACAACCAUUUGUGGGUGACAAUACCUUACAGUUUAUGGGAGUCCAGGAUACAACUGAGAGGCCCCGCCAAUCAGUCAGUAACACGAGAACAUAUGAAGAAGGAACCAGAGAGAGCUAAACUUACCAGCAUUGGUCAAGUCCCGCACAUUUUCCUUCAGGAUUCCAUGGUCUUCGCAAAGUUUCUCAAACCUUUUCUUCAGUUCUAGACUCACAUAUGGUUUUCGUCCUAUGGGAAGAGUGACAGUAAUGGCUGUGACUUUGAGUUGGACCCUGAUGGAGGCCCUUGGGAAAGGGGACAGAUGAUGGGGAUGGAUGGCACUGACUGGUGCUUAGGCAGAAGGGAGGGAGGGGCUGUCUCCUGUCUUGACUGUGACUAUUUAGAAUAUCCUUCUGCAUGAUGAGAGAUUUCAUCACCUUCCCAUCACUGCCUCGCCUGGGGGUUACCCACGGUCAGUACCUCUCUGCAGGAGAGGAGAAAUGGCCCAGCAGAAGAUUGGGGGAACUUUUAUGUGU